GACGGAGGGUGCAAGCGUUGUUCGGAAUUACUGGGCGUAAAGCGUACGUAGGCGGCGGGUUAAGUCGAAUGUUAAAGCCUGGAGCUCAACUCCAGAGAUGCAUUCGAUACUGGCUUGCUAGAGGUUGAUAGAGGAAAGCGGAAUUCCGAGUGUAGCGGUGAAAUGCGUAGAUAUUCGGAGGAACAUCAGUAGCGAAGGCGGCUUUCUGGGUCACACCUGACGCUGAGGUACGAAAGCGUGGGGAGCGAACGGG
Molecule: ribosomal RNA, 253 nt
Filed under: uncultured bacterium
Lineage: Bacteria
Description: partial 16S ribosomal RNA
Rfam family: Bacterial small subunit ribosomal RNA
Source: RNAcentral